GGCCGGGUGGUCUAGUGGUCAGGAUGUUAGCCACGUAAGCUAAAAGACGUGGGUUCGAUUCCCGCCUCGGCCA
This is a non-coding RNA of Cydia pomonella (codling moth), 73 nucleotides long. The record is from the annotation of a RefSeq genome assembly. Lineage: Eukaryota; Metazoa; Arthropoda; Insecta; Lepidoptera; Tortricidae.